ACAUAGGCAGAGAAGAGAAGAAGUACGAGUAAGAAAGAGCCAACAGAGAAUAGCCGGCUGGUGAGAGGCAUGGGAAAUCGCUUAUUUGGAAUACAUCUUGGAGCUUCGGCAUUGAAACCAGGUAGGUGCUGACGGAAGAGGGGAAACCCGGCACACGUUAUCGUGCAGGAGUAUUCGUGCCAUACGGCAGGUGUACUUGAUGAGGCAGUCGAUGCGAGUCGAUUGUGAAAAAAGGUGGUAACACGGGAUAUGAUAUCUCUCGUCCUUUGA
This 270-nucleotide non-coding RNA is filed under the name Clostridium sp. RNAcentral describes it as "T-box sequence". It matches the Rfam family "T-box leader". From Rfam's summary of the family: Uncharged tRNA acts as the effector for transcription antitermination of genes in the T-box leader family. T-boxes are found upstream of many aminoacyl-tRNA synthetase genes and some amino acid biosynthetic genes usually in Gram-positive bacteria. The anticodon of a specific tRNA base pairs to a specifier sequence within the T-box motif, and the NCCA acceptor tail of the tRNA base pairs to a conserved bulge in the T-box antiterminator hairpin. The record is from RNAcentral. Lineage: Bacteria; Bacillati; Bacillota; Clostridia; Eubacteriales; Clostridiaceae.